Molecule: ribosomal RNA, 465 nt
Filed under: Vreelandella stevensii
Lineage: Bacteria; Pseudomonadati; Pseudomonadota; Gammaproteobacteria; Oceanospirillales; Halomonadaceae
Description: partial 16S ribosomal RNA
Rfam family: Bacterial small subunit ribosomal RNA
Source: RNAcentral
CCUACGGGUGGCAGCAGUGGGGAAUAUUGGACAAUGGGCGAAAGCCUGAUCCAGCCAUGCCGCGUGUGUGAAGAAGGCCUUCGGGUUGUAAUGCACUUUCAGUGGGGAAGAAAGCCUUGGGGCUAAUACCCUCGAGGAAGGACAUCACCCACAGAAGAAGCACCGGCUAACUCCGUGCCAGCAGCCGCGGUAAUACGGAGGGUGCGAGCGUUAAUCGGAAUUACUGGGCGUAAAGCGCGCGUAGGCGGUCUGAUAAGCCGGUUGUGAAAGCCCCGGGCUCAACCUGGGAACGGCAUCCGGAACUGUCAGGCUAGAGUGCAGGAGAGGAAGGUAGAAUUCCCGGUGUAGCGGUGAAAUGCGUAGAGAUCGGGAGGAAUACCAGUGGCGAAGGCGGUCUUCUGGACUGACACUGACGCUGAGGUGCGAAAGCGUGGGUAGCAAACAGGAUUAGAUACCCCAGUAGUC